Molecule: ribosomal RNA, 500 nt
Filed under: uncultured bacterium
Lineage: Bacteria
Description: partial 16S ribosomal RNA
Rfam family: Bacterial small subunit ribosomal RNA
Source: RNAcentral
AUUGAACGCUGGCGGCAUGCCUUACACAUGCAAGUCGAACGGCAGCACGGGAGCAAUCCUGGUGGCGAGUGGCGAACGGGUGAGUAAUAUAUCGGAACGUGCCCAGUCGUGGGGGAUAACGCAGCGAAAGCUGUGCUAAUACCGCAUACGAUCUAUGGAUGAAAGCGGGGGAUCGCAAGACCUCGCGCGAUUGGAGCGGCCGAUAUCAGAUUAGCUAGUUGGUGGGGUAAAGGCCCAACAAGGCGACGAUCUGUAGCUGGUCUGAGAGGACGACCAGCCACACUGGAAGUGAGACACGGUCCAGACUCCUACGGGAGGCAGCAGUGGGGAAUUUUGGACAAUGGGCGCAAGCCUGAUCCAGCAAUGCCACGUGCAGGAUGAAGGCCUUCGGGUUGUAAACUGCUUUUGUACGGAGCGAAACGGUCUGCCCUAAUACGGUGGGCUAAUGACGGUACCGUAAGAAUAAGCACCGGCUAACUACGUGCCAGCCGCCGCCGUAA